This 263-nucleotide ribosomal RNA is filed under the name uncultured bacterium. RNAcentral's name for it is "partial 16S ribosomal RNA". It matches the Rfam family "Bacterial small subunit ribosomal RNA", at positions 74 to 358 of the family's 1533-position model. The record is from RNAcentral.
CGAAGGAACCUUCNGGUUAGUGGCGGACGGGUGAGUAACGCUUCCCAUCUGCCCUCAGGAAGGGGAUAACGGUUGGAAACGACCGCUAAUACCCCAUAUGCCGAGAGGUGAAAAGAAAUUCGCCUGAGGAUGAGCUCGCGUCUGAUUAGCUAGUUGGUGUGGUAAUGGCGCACCAAGGCUUCGAUCAGUAGCUGGUCUGAGAGGAUGAUCAGCCACACUGGGACUGAGACACGGCCCAGACUCCUACGGGAGGCAGCAGUGGG